UACUAAUGAGGAGGAAGGACAUUCUAUGCCACCUGUCAACAGCAGAGGAACACCCCAUCAUGGAGCACACCAGGUUGAUGGCAUGUCUAUUGUCAGGCAACAGCUAUGAGCAAGAAGCAUUUCGGCAGCAGGAGUGUUGGCUAUGAUUCCGUCAACACGGCGAGGGGAACACUAUCUUCACUUGGGAUAGUAGUAGACGGCUGCAGAGCAGGUAGACCCGGUGUGUCAAGAACGGCAGGGGCAACAAGAGUGAGGGUGAGCUGAUGGUGACACUUCCUCCAGAGAGCAUCAGCUGCCCCCUCCUCUCCCCCACCUGCAAAACCAGCUUGGCCAUGGGCACCAGCUACCCCUUUGACACCUCUCUGCUUGGAAGACCACCAUCAUCAGAGAAGAUAAAAGACAGCCUAUUCUUCCACCCAACAAUGCACCACACAGAUAAGCCAGACUGGGAUCCCUUAGGCUCUAGUAAGGUAGAUAGGUAGGCUUUCCCUCCUUCUGGUCAUUAAUCAGAGGAGGAGAGUGUUGGUAGGUAGGAACCAUCCUCAGACUGAAAUGUGUGUUAAGGUUUCCAUUGUUGGUGUUAAGAGUGAAGUAUAUUGGUAAUUGCUGUGAUUAUUUGCUCACUAUCAAGUAAAUCCCCAGUAAGUGUUCUUCGCUAUUCCUUGCCCAAUAUUCCCCUCUUCCCCACUGUCAUGGAAAUCCACUGGGAGUCCUGUUUAAUAAGUUGUCAAUAAAAGAUAAAACUGCUUUUUUUUUUUUUUUUUACUUAUCAUUCAUUUAUUAUCUUUUAUUUUCAAAUAUGUGGCUGUAGUAACUGGGCACAUAGUUUUUUUUUCUGGUUUGAGGUACCAGUCUCUUCAGAGGUGUGGGGUUCAAAUGCCACCACUGCCUACAAAAUAUGUGCCCAGUUACUCUAGUAACAUACAUAAAAAUAAGAAAAUAAAUAAAUGAAUGAAUGAAUGAAAAAAAAAAAUUGAUCUUCUAUUGACAACUUAUUAGACAGGACUCCCAAUGGAUUUCUACAGUGGUGGCGAAGGGAGAAUAAUGGACAAGGAAUAGUGAACAUCACUUACUGGGAGUUUACUUGGUUGUGAGCAAGUAAUCACAGCAAUUACCAAUACAGUAGAGCCUCAGUUACGAAACACUUCCCUUUUCAAACAAAUCAGUUUUCGAACAAAAUUUUCAACUCAUAAUUGCUUAGGUUGCCAUAUCAUAAUUUGUUUCUCAAACAGAGUUACUUGAUUUCAAAUAUUAAAAGACAAGGCAAAAGCUACUGUUUAUAACUAAUUUGUAGUUUCUAUAAAUAUUUCCUUCAUUUUUAUAUAUUUGUAGGAGAGAGUUUGUAAGACAGUAAUUUAAUCUUUGAAGUAAGGUAAAUGUGACCCUGAUGAAGAGCCUUGAUUUAAACAAAUAGUUUUUAGCUAGCUCAGGGAGUAGUCCUGACUAACAAGCCACUUGUGGCCCUCUUGAUGACCCCACAGCACCAUCACUACUGCACAACUGUAUUUUCACUAGUAGUUUUUCAGAGCAGCAUGAUGUGUAAGUGUUAUAAUUACCUUUAUUUUGGGCUGAGUGGGCUGCUCCUCUCUGUGUCACUAUGUAAGGCUUC
Scylla paramamosain (green mud crab) is the source of this 1609-nucleotide long non-coding RNA. RefSeq lists it as uncharacterized. The record is from RefSeq and is a predicted model, not a curated record. The transcript is spliced from 3 exons. NCBI's taxonomy places the organism in Eukaryota, Metazoa, Arthropoda, Malacostraca, Decapoda, Portunidae.